CGAAACUAACAGAUUUACUUCGGUAAUGACGUUAGGAAAGCGAGCGGCGGAUGGGUGAGUAACACGUGGGGAACCUGCCCCAUAGUCUGGGAUACCACUUGGAAACAGGUGCUAAUACCGGAUAAGAAAGCAGAUCGCAUGAUCAGCUUUUAAAAGGCGGCGUAAGCUGUCGCUAUGGGAUGGCCCCGCGGUGCAUUAGCUAGUUGGUAAGGUAAAGGCUUACCAAGGCGAUGAUGCAUAGCCGAGUUGAGAGACUGAUCGGCCACAUUGGGACUGAGACACGGCCCAGACUCCUACGGGAGGCAGCAGUAGGGAAUCUUCCACAAUGGACGCAAGUCUGAUGGAGCAACGCCGCGUGAGUGAAGAAGGUUUUCGGAUCGUAAAGCUCUGUUGUUGGUGAA
RNAcentral lists this ribosomal RNA (401 nucleotides) under uncultured Lactobacillus sp. RNAcentral's name for it is "bacterial SSU rRNA". It matches the Rfam family "Bacterial small subunit ribosomal RNA", at positions 63 to 446 of the family's 1533-position model. Lineage: Bacteria; Bacillati; Bacillota; Bacilli; Lactobacillales; Lactobacillaceae. The record is from RNAcentral.